AUACGGAGGGUGCAAGCGUUAUUCGGAAUCACUGGGCGUAAAGGACGCGUAGGCGGGUUGGCAAGUCAGAUGUGAAAUCCUACAGCUUAACUGUAGAACUGCAUUUGAAACUGCUAACCUAGAGUAUGGGAGGGGGAGAUGGAAUUAGUGGUGUAGGGGUAAAAUCCGUAGAUAUCACUAGGAAUACCGAAAGCGAAGGCGAUCUCCUGGAACAUAACUGACGCUCAGGCGUGAAAGCGUGGGGAGCAAACAGGAUUAGAUACCCCAGUAGUCC
RNAcentral lists this ribosomal RNA (274 nucleotides) under uncultured bacterium. RNAcentral's name for it is "partial 16S ribosomal RNA". It matches the Rfam family "Bacterial small subunit ribosomal RNA", at positions 523 to 796 of the family's 1533-position model. The record is from RNAcentral.